Pelobates cultripes (western spadefoot toad) is the source of this 658-nucleotide non-coding RNA. NCBI's taxonomy places the organism in Eukaryota, Metazoa, Chordata, Amphibia, Anura, Pelobatidae. The record is from the annotation of a GenBank genome assembly.
UGAAAUUUGGGCUCAGCAUAAAAACGAUUGUGGCAUUCUAAAAGCUAGUGAAAUUAACAUUGUGGGACCUAAUGCUCCUCCACAGAGACAAUACAGGUUUCCAACAGAAGCCAUUGAACCCGUAGCACAAAUAAUUGAUCAAUUGGAGAAACAGGGUAUCAUUAGGAAAUGUUCUUCCUCCAAAAACUCACCCUUGUGGCCAGUACGUAAGAAAAAUGGCACUUGGAGAUUGACAGUAGAUUUUCGGAUGGUAAACAAAUUCAUUCCUCCAGUUACAAAUUUGGUUGCUUCCAUACCUGAGGUGACAUCUAAACUAAAUGCCGCCUGUGAAUGGUAUUCAGUAUUAGAUAUUAGUAAUGGUUUCUGGAGUAUUAGGCUAGCCCCAGAAUGCCAGUACAAAUUUGCCUUCACCUUUAAAAAUACUCAAUAUACAUUUACAACACUACCACAAGGCUUUCAUAGCUCUCCAACUUAUUUCCACCAGGCUUUAGCAAAGGUAUUAGAAGCAUUCUCGUCUCCAUCCAGUAUCAUGCAAUAUGUAGAUGAUAUCUUAUUGCAAACAGAGACAAUAGAUGAACAUUUACAUUUGUUAAGAGAACUGUUUAGCUUAAUUGCAGAGGCUGGAUUCAAGCUAAAUACUUCAAAGGUACGAUUACUG